RNAcentral lists this ribosomal RNA (1212 nucleotides) under Salmonella enterica subsp. enterica serovar Braenderup. RNAcentral's name for it is "partial 23S ribosomal RNA". It matches the Rfam family "Bacterial large subunit ribosomal RNA", at positions 626 to 1757 of the family's 2925-position model. The record is from RNAcentral. Lineage: Bacteria; Pseudomonadati; Pseudomonadota; Gammaproteobacteria; Enterobacterales; Enterobacteriaceae.
ACUUAUAUUCUGUAGCAAGGUUAACCGAAUAGGGGAGCCGGAGGGAAACCGAGUCUUAAUUGGGCGUUAAGUUGCAGGGUAUAGACCCGAAACCCGGUGAUCUAGCCAUGGGCAGGUUGAAGGUUGGGUAACACUAACUGGAGGACCGAACCGACUAAUGUUGAAAAAUUAGCGGAUGACCUGUGGCUGGGGGUGAAAGGCCAAUCAAACCGGGAGAUAGCUGGUUCUCCCCGAAAGCUAUUUAGGUAGCGCCUCGUGAAUUCAUCUCCGGGGGUAGAGCACUGUUUCGGCUAGGGGGCCAUCCCGGCUUACCAACCCGAUGCAAACUGCGAAUACCGGAGAAUGUUAUCACGGGAGACACACGGCGGGUGCUAACGUCCGUCGUGAAGAGGGAAACAACCCAGACCGCCAGCUAAGGUCCCAAAGUCAUGGUUAAGUGGGAAACGAUGUGGGAAGGCCCAGACAGCCAGGAUGUUGGCUUAGAAGCAGCCAUCAUUUAAAGAAAGCGUAAUAGCUCACUGGUCGAGUCGGCCUGCGCGGAAGAUGUAACGGGGCUAAACCAUGCACCGAAGCUGCGGCAGCGAACGUAUCACUUAAAGCGAUUCAGCGGGUUACGAUUGACGGAGCGAAGCGACGUCAAAGCGUAUACAAAGUCGAGUCGGUUUAAGGAUACGUUCGUUGGGUAGGGGAGCGUUCUGUAAGCCUGUGAAGGUGGCCUGUGAGGGUUGCUGGAGGUAUCAGAAGUGCGAAUGCUGACAUAAGUAACGAUAAAGCGGGUGAAAAGCCCGCUCGCCGGAAGACCAAGGGUUCCUGUCCAACGUUAAUCGGGGCAGGGUGAGUCGACCCCUAAGGCGAGGCCGAAAGGCGUAGUCGAUGGGAAACGGGUUAAUAUUCCCGUACUUGGUGUUACUGCGAAGGGGGGACGGAGAAGGCUAUGUUGGCCGGGCGACGGUUGUCCCGGUUUAAGCGUGUAGGUGUGUGUUCCAGGUAAAUCCGGUUCACUUUAACACUGAGGCGUGACGACGAGGCACUACGGUGCUGAAGCAACAAAUGCCCUGCUUCCAGGAAAAGCCUCUAAGCAUCAGGUAACAUCAAAUCGUACCCCAAACCGACACAGGUGGUCAGGUAGAGAAUACCAAGGCGCUUGAGAGAACUCGGGUGAAGGAACUAGGCAAAAUGGUGCCGUAACUUCGGGAGAAGGCACGCUGACAC